RNAcentral lists this ribosomal RNA (253 nucleotides) under uncultured bacterium. Its description in RNAcentral is "partial 16S ribosomal RNA". It matches the Rfam family "Bacterial small subunit ribosomal RNA", at positions 524 to 776 of the family's 1533-position model. The record is from RNAcentral.
UACGUAGGGUGCAAGCGUUGUCCGGAAUUAUUGGGCGUAAAGAGCUCGUAGGCGGUUUGUCGCGUCUGCUGUGAAAACUCGGGGCUUAACCCCGGGCCUGCAGUGGGUACGGGCAGACUAGAGUGCGGUAGGGGAGACUGGAAUUCCUGGUGUAGCGGUGAAAUGCGCAGAUAUCAGGAGGAACACCAGUGGCGAAGGCGGCUCUCUGGUCUGUAACUGACGCUGAGGCGCGAAAGCGUGGGGAGCAAACAGG